This 1233-nucleotide long non-coding RNA is filed under the name Heterocephalus glaber (naked mole-rat). Its description in RNAcentral is "lncRNA (ENSHGLG00100052093.1)". Lineage: Eukaryota; Metazoa; Chordata; Mammalia; Rodentia; Bathyergidae. The record is from RNAcentral.
CUGUGUAGUCUCGGAACAGACCGCAAGUGAAAGCCAGGACAAACAGGGCUAGAGCCGGCCACCAGGACCGUGUGCUCUGAACGGUGGCUCCGGGCUGCGGCUGCGCGGAGAAGGCUGCAUGCUUAGGAGGCAAGUGUUGUGGCCGUGAAUGUGCUGAGCAGGGAGAGGGACUCAAGUACUGGGAGACGUGGCCGCGUCCUGAGGGACUCACGGUGUAGGAGGGCAAACGCGACAGCCAGAGAAACAACUGUCCUCUCAGUUACGCCGUGUGAAAAGCCGCCCUGUGUCCCGGGGCUGUCCCCAGACCAGGCCUAGUGCACCAUGGGCUGGUCCCUGCACAUCUCCAGAGCUCCCGGGGUCCAUGGCAGGCGCAGACACAAUCAUGGGCUGUGGACGGCACACGGAGCUGGUUCAGAGGCCGCAGUGCAUUCCUGCUCAGGCUGCUCCAAGAGGACACAGAGGAGUUAACUUAGAGCUCGUGUUGAUCCACUAUUGUACUUGGAGAAAAUCAUAUGGCCACGUGACAUGCAUGUUGGUGCCCGUUGUAGGUGAUGUGGUCUCAUCCUGACCAUCACAUGGCUCUUUAAAUCCUAAGAGACAUCGCAGGAUCUCACUGUGUAGCCCAGGCUGGGCUAAAAGUUGCUGUGAAUCUCUUGCCUCAGCCUCCCGAGUGCUGGGAUUACAGGUGUGCACCACCAUGCCCAGCUCAGUAAGAAGCAUCUUAUGUUUGUGAGACAUUUGGUUCUUUUCAAAGGACUCUAAAAUGUGUUUGCACUUUAUUAUACUAUAAUUUAUGAGAGGUACAGAAAGUGGAGUUUUAUAUGUUAAAGGUAGAAGCUGAAAGUAGUUCAGGAUUCUGGUUUGCCAUGGGGCCCUGCCUACAUUUUUGUAUUUUCAGUUACACUGUUAUGGCUUGUGUAUAGAUGUCCCCCCCCAGAGUCUUAUACAGUUAUAGGAGGGGCUUUUUCGGAGGUGGCUGGAUCUAGAGUGUGUGACUCUGGAAAUGAUUUGUGGUGCAAUGCUAGGCAUUGAUUCCCGGUAUAAGGGCACUAGGAUUAAGGGUGUGAGUGCUGCCUGCUCUAAGUAGCCUGGAUAAGACAUAAGGGACAGGAAGAGCUGUGGUUUUCCCUUGUUGCUUUGCUGCCUUCUGCCUGCCAUGGACUGUUUCUCCUCUGCCAUCCCGCCCUGCCUUGGAGCCAACUGAUUAUGGGCUGCAACCUCUACAGAUUGUGA